This 253-nucleotide ribosomal RNA is filed under the name uncultured bacterium. Its description in RNAcentral is "partial 16S ribosomal RNA". It matches the Rfam family "Bacterial small subunit ribosomal RNA", at positions 524 to 776 of the family's 1533-position model. The record is from RNAcentral.
UACGUAGGGUGCGAGCGUUACUCGGAAUUACUGGGCGUAAAGCGUGCGCAGGCGGUUGUGCAAGACAGAUGUGAAAUCCCCGGGCUCAACCUGGGAAUUGCAUUUGUGACUGCACGGCUAGAGUGUGUCAGAGGGGGGUAGAAUUCCACGUGUAGCAGUGAAAUGCGUAGAGAUGUGGAGGAAUACCGAUGGCGAAGGCAGCCCCCUGGGAUAACACUGACGCUCAUGCACGAAAGCGUGGGGAGCAAACAGG